Long non-coding RNA from Myotis davidii, 147 nucleotides. RefSeq lists it as uncharacterized. NCBI's taxonomy places the organism in Eukaryota, Metazoa, Chordata, Mammalia, Chiroptera, Vespertilionidae. The transcript has 2 exons. The record is from RefSeq and is a predicted model, not a curated record.
AUUUAACCUAUAGGAAGAAAAUGAGAAAAGAAUGCAACACAAGGAUUAUUCAGACAAUGAAUCUACAUCUUUGGAUAUUUCUGGAAAGAGAAGGAAAGGACCUUUUAAAACCAUAAAGUUUGGGACCAACAUUGACCUUUCUGAUGA